Molecule: ribosomal RNA, 901 nt
Filed under: Trichoderma hunua
Lineage: Eukaryota; Fungi; Ascomycota; Sordariomycetes; Hypocreales; Hypocreaceae
Description: LSU rRNA
Rfam family: Eukaryotic large subunit ribosomal RNA
Source: RNAcentral
GCAUAUCAAUAAGCGGAGGAAAAGAAACCAACAGGGAUUGCCCCAGUAACGGCGAAGUGAAGCGGCAACAGCUCAAAUUUGAAAUCUGGCCCCUCGGGGUCCGAGUUGUAAUUUGUAGAGGAUGCUUUUGGUGAGGUGCCGCCCGAGUUCCCUGGAACGGGACGCCACAGAGGGUGAGAGCCCCGUCUGGCUGGCCACCGAGCCUCUGUAAAGCUCCUUCGACGAGUCGAGUAGUUUGGGAAUGCUGCUCAAAAUGGGAGGUAUAUGUCUUCUAAAGCUAAAUAUUGGCCAGAGACCGAUAGCGCACAAGUAGAGUGAUCGAAAGAUGAAAAGCACCUUGAAAAGAGGGUUAAAUAGUACGUGAAAUUGUUGAAAGGGAAGCGCUUGUGACCAGACUUGGGCGCGGCGGAUCAUCCGGGGUUCUCUCCGGUGCACUUCGCCACGUCCAGGCCAGCAUCAGUUCGUCGCGGGGGAAAAAGGCUUCGGGAACGUGGCUCCUCCGGGAGUGUUAUAGCCCGUUGCAUAAUACCCUGCGGUGGACUGAGGACCGCGCAUCUGCAAGGAUGCUGGCGUAAUGGUCACCAGCGACCCGUCUUGAAACACGGACCAAGGAGUCGUCUUCGUAUGCGAGUGUUCGGGUGUCAAACCCCUACGCGUAAUGAAAGUGAACGCAGGUGAGAGCUUCGGCGCAUCAUCGACCGAUCCUGAUGUUCUCGGAUGGAUUUGAGUAAGAGCAUACGGGGCCGGACCCGAAAGAAGGUGAACUAUGCCUGUAUAGGGUGAAGCCAGAGGAAACUCUGGUGGAGGCUCGCAGCGGUUCUGACGUGCAAAUCGAUCGUCAAAUAUGGGCAUGGGGGGCGAAAGACUAAUCGAACCUUCUAGUAGCUGGUUUCCGCCGAAG